AAAGUGUCAUAGUCUCUAAUUAAUUCUAAAGUAAGCGGUGUAUGCUUCGACAGCCGUAAAAAAACUAAUAAACUAAUAAAAUUUUUUGGCAUUGCGAGCAUCUCAGCCUCAUGUAUAGACGCUCUGGCUGGCUCUUGAACAAUUUCAACAAUUUCAAGAGAGCCUGGAGUCAGCUCUUGAGCCGGUCAGAAAAUUCGAGUACAACAAAUUUGUAUGGCGUUACUCAUCUUACUUACUCAUAUUGUCUUAUGUUGUGAAAUGUUGAUCUUCGCUUAUUUCAUUAUUUUUCAUUGGGGAUCAAUGAAAAAUACCUUUUUAUAAAGUUAGUGUCGGUGGUUCCGCGGAGUUGCCUUUAACAGCACCAAAUGAAUCCGUAAGAGCAGUUAUUGUCGUAAGUUGCCGCUGCUGCUGACCGCUACAGGUACUGGCAAUGUUUUAUCCUAUAAAGUACAUCGAUCAUAACCUAGCCUCCUGCUUUAACCACGCGACAGCAAAAACGAUCUAAUACUAUCUCGCCUAUCGCGGACAACUAUCGGCCAUCGACAUCCCCGACCCCUGAAGAACCGCUUCACUCAAACCAAAACCGCAACCGAGAGAGGCCACAGAAAUUCACUCGCACACUUGCGCGUCUGAUGACUCCAUCGACUCCUUGGUAAACGCCCUCCACGAUGUCCAAUCUCUACGGAGCAAGGCUAGAUCGCAGAUGAAGACCAUGUCACCCUGGCGAAUCGGCUCCGUCCUCUGGCACCAUUUUUCUCGGCUCGCAAAUAUAAUAACGUCAUCCAUAUAGACUGCUGCUUCAUUAUUCUUU
Molecule: long non-coding RNA, 811 nt
Organism: Drosophila miranda
Lineage: Eukaryota; Metazoa; Arthropoda; Insecta; Diptera; Drosophilidae
Exons: 3
Source: RefSeq, a predicted model, not a curated record